RNAcentral lists this transfer RNA (75 nucleotides) under Schistocerca americana (American grasshopper). Its description in RNAcentral is "tRNA-Thr". It matches the Rfam family "tRNA". Rfam says of the family: Transfer RNA (tRNA) molecules are approximately 80 nucleotides in length. Their secondary structure includes four short double-helical elements and three loops (D, anti-codon, and T loops). Further hydrogen bonds mediate the characteristic L-shaped molecular structure. tRNAs have two regions of fundamental functional importance: the anti-codon, which is responsible for specific mRNA codon recognition, and the 3' end, to which the tRNAs corresponding amino acid is attached (by aminoacyl-tRNA synthetases). tRNAs cope with the degeneracy of the genetic code in two manners: having more than one tRNA (with a specific anti-codon) for a particular amino acid; and 'wobble' base-pairing, i.e. permitting non-standard base-pairing at the 3rd anti-codon position. The record is from RNAcentral. Lineage: Eukaryota; Metazoa; Arthropoda; Insecta; Orthoptera; Acrididae.
GCCUUCGGUGGCUCAGAUGGAUAGAGCGUCUGCCAUGUAAGCAGGAGAUGCCGGGUUCGAGUCCCGGUCGGGGCA